RNAcentral lists this long non-coding RNA (237 nucleotides) under Elaeis guineensis (African oil palm). RNAcentral's name for it is "long non-coding RNA (EGUI_LNC050513)". Lineage: Eukaryota; Viridiplantae; Streptophyta; Magnoliopsida; Arecales; Arecaceae. The record is from RNAcentral.
CAAUAACUAUUAGGUGAGGUACAUGUGGAUCAGUGAUAGCACAAUAUCCACUAAAAAUUGAUGAGUAUAGAUUUUUGUUUCUCCACCUGAGGAGUGUGGGAGACUCAUAGAAAUAGUAAAAGCCUUGUUUGUUUAUUAAAGUCCCUAUAACAAAUAUUUACAAGUACAAACAUUUAAUUAAAAAUUAUUUUCUUUCUAUAGUUGAUUAACCAUGUUGAGUUCAAAUCCUCCGGCCCA